This 497-nucleotide ribosomal RNA is filed under the name uncultured bacterium. RNAcentral's name for it is "partial 16S ribosomal RNA". It matches the Rfam family "Bacterial small subunit ribosomal RNA", at positions 28 to 507 of the family's 1533-position model. The record is from RNAcentral.
GAUGAACGCUGGCGGCGUGCCUAAUACAUGCCAGUCGAGCGAACAGACGAGGAGCUUGCUCCUCUGACGUUAGCGGCUGACGGGUGAGUAACACGUGGAUAACCUACCUAUAAGACUGGGAUAACUUCGGGAAACCGGAGCUAAUACCGGAUAAUAUCUUGAACCGCAUGGUUCACUAGUGAAAGACGGUUUUGCUGUCACUUAUAGAUGGAUCCGCGCCGCAUUAGCUAGUUGGUAAGGUAACGGCUUACCAAGGCAACGAUGCGUAGCCGACCUGAGAGGGUGAUCGGCCACACUGGAACUGAGACACGGUCCAGACUCCUACGGGAGGCAGCAGUAGGGAAUCUUCCGCAAUGGGCGAAAGCCUGACGGCGCAACGCCGCGUGAGUGAUGAAGGUCUUCGGAUCGUAAAACUCUGUUAUUAGGGAAGAACAAAUGUGUAAGUAACUAUGCACGUCUUGACGGUACCUAAUCAGAAAGCCACGGCUAACUACGUG